Molecule: long non-coding RNA, 873 nt
Organism: Pseudoliparis swirei
Lineage: Eukaryota; Metazoa; Chordata; Actinopteri; Perciformes; Liparidae
Exons: 4
Source: RefSeq, a predicted model, not a curated record
AUGAGUGAGGCGGACUCGGAAGAAACUCGGGCGCACUCGGCAGCACUCGGCUCGAAUACGCAUGCGCAGUCGACCACUGAAGACGUUCUUUGGCGGAGACGGAUUGGCGGCAGCGAGAAGGCAGUGCAGGUGUGCGAGUUACUUUAAGAGUACAGAUGUGACUGGGAGGUGAACAGCAUCCUCCGUGGCUCAACCGUCAUCCUUGGAGAUGACAACGCAGACUUCUUCAAGAAUUUGUGUGAGUUUAGGAUGGCGUGAAGCUUCGACUUGACCCUAUGGAAACACAGCAGAUGCCACCAAAGGGUCCUGAUCGGGGACUCUGAUGACCUUCUGGACGUGUCCCACACCUCCAUUGGGACCCUGACGGUGCUGAAGACAUCGUGGCCUCCUCACUCACUGGACUUGGAGUCUUCAACUACUGCCAUCGUUUUGGGAGGAACAGUCGUGAUGGGUGACCGUGAUAAUCUUCCCCGUGCCGUGUGGCUACUCUUCGGACUUAUUUACCCCUGAAUUUAGAGUAUCCUCAACGAGUGAGGAACACCUUCUGAAUUUAUUCAUAGAGUGCUUCUCUCACUUGGACCAAAAACCCUAAAAUACAAUCACUCAAAAAUCUACUGAUGCCGUAAUGGACUGUGUUCAUGAUGUGCAGUCAGGCCCGAGAACUUCACCCUUCUAUCACCAAUAGAACUCUUUUAUAGAAAAUGUCUAUUUUUGUUGUUUUUCUGUAGUGAAAUUGAGCAAAUGCCGAAAACGCUGUGUUCAUCAUAUUUCUGCGUUACAAAACCUAAUCUGGCAACAUGUUCAGCGUUUUAAGCACGUUGUUUGAGUUUUAAAACAUGUGUUCUUCUAAAUAAACUUUGUCUUCCAUUGUAA